GCCGCUAACGGUAUAACAGUAAGCUGAUGUGGCACAUUAAAUCAUCAUUUCAUACAAAAAUUGUAGGUUAAAUUAUACAACUACUCCCCAUAUUUUUCUAUGUUUUGAGCAAUUUAUUUUUUUUCUUUUAUAUUCUUUCAACUUUAUUUUAUAUUCUUUCAACUUUUUUUUUCUUUUUUUUUCUUUCCAUUCUACUUAUCCCUCCGUUUUCCUCCCUUCUCAAAUUCUUUUAACGUAUCAAACAGGACGGCACAAACCCUCUCUCAACUUAUCCUCUCUUACACUCUCAACUCUCAUCAAAUUCAAUCUCUCACUCACCAUGGCACAAACCUUUAUAUGUGCCGCCACAUCCACCCUUACAUGCCACCUUACUCUAUCCUUUCUCCUCCCCAAACGCCUCUUAUACUCCAAAUCCAUCACCCAUCCUCCUCUCAUCCCUUUCCUCCGCUUCUCUGCUUCUCCCAUUGCGCUCCUACCCCUUUUUCCCAUAUCGUCCGAUGUCUC
Molecule: long non-coding RNA, 504 nt
Filed under: Gossypium raimondii (Peruvian cotton)
Lineage: Eukaryota; Viridiplantae; Streptophyta; Magnoliopsida; Malvales; Malvaceae
Description: long non-coding RNA (GRAI_LNC005057)
Source: RNAcentral